AAUUGAAACUGUUCACCGGUGA
This 22-nucleotide non-coding RNA is filed under the name Arabidopsis thaliana (thale cress). Lineage: Eukaryota; Viridiplantae; Streptophyta; Magnoliopsida; Brassicales; Brassicaceae. The record is from RNAcentral.